Molecule: transfer RNA, 139 nt
Filed under: Elsinoe ampelina
Lineage: Eukaryota; Fungi; Ascomycota; Dothideomycetes; Myriangiales; Elsinoaceae
Description: tRNA-Val
Rfam family: tRNA
About the family: Transfer RNA (tRNA) molecules are approximately 80 nucleotides in length. Their secondary structure includes four short double-helical elements and three loops (D, anti-codon, and T loops).
Source: RNAcentral
UCCGAUGUGGUCUAGUGGCUAGGAGUAGGUUAACCCUUGACGCUGAUUGAAGCACUCUCUAACUGUUCAAAGUUUGUCGCUCUCAAUUCUCACAUGAGAAAGCACCGACAAGGCCGGGGUUCAAUUCCCCGCAUCGGAA